RNAcentral lists this ribosomal RNA (253 nucleotides) under uncultured bacterium. Its description in RNAcentral is "partial 16S ribosomal RNA". It matches the Rfam family "Bacterial small subunit ribosomal RNA", at positions 524 to 776 of the family's 1533-position model. The record is from RNAcentral.
UCCGUAGGGGGCAAGCGUUGUCCGGAAUCAUUGGGCGUAAAGCGCGUGUAGGCGGCUCGAUAAGUCUGCUGUGAAAGUCCAGGGCUCAACCCUGGGAUGCCGGUGGAUACUGUCGAGCUCGAGUCCGGAAGAGGCGAGUGGAAUUCCUGGUGUAGCGGUGAAAUGCGCAGAUAUCAGGAGGAACACCAAUGGCGAAGGCAGCUCGCUGGGACGUGACUGACGCUGAGACGCGAAAGCGUGGGGAGCAAACAGG